This 919-nucleotide long non-coding RNA is filed under the name Aotus nancymaae (Ma's night monkey). Its description in RNAcentral is "lncRNA (ENSANAG00000038675.1)". Lineage: Eukaryota; Metazoa; Chordata; Mammalia; Primates; Aotidae. The record is from RNAcentral.
GGGCGCAGUUCACAGACGUCCCCGACUUCCUGAGCCCCAGACCCAGGAUCCAGGAAAGCGGCGUCGGAGGGGGUCUGUCUCUAGGGGUGUGUGUUUCACGUACACAGAUGUGUACACGGUGAACACAUCCCGGCGGAGACACACACACAAGGUAAACAUUCCAACAUGGACACACACAUCUCACACACACACAUGCACACAUGGUGAACGCAUCCCGGCGGGGACACACACACACACGGUGAACACAUUCCGAGACGGACAGACGCAUCUACACACACACACACGGAACACAUCCCAGUGGGGACACACACACCCACGGUAAACACAUCCCAACAGGGACACACACACACACAAACACACAUGGUGAACGCAUCCCAGUGGGGACACACACACACACACACGGUGAACACAUUCUGAGACGGACAGAUGCAUCUACACACACACACACACACGGAACACAUCCCAGUGGGGACACACACACACACACACACACACACACACGGUGAACACAUCCCAGUGGAAGCGCCAGGGCCCCACGCGGGACCCCACGCUGAGAGAGUCUGUGUGGCGGGGACACAGGUCCAGCCUCCCAUGCCUCCGGCUCCUCCUGACGUGGGCUCCCAGCUCACCUGGACCACCCACUCAUGGGGCCGCCUCCCGUCUGGCCCAGCGAGACCCCCGUCCUUCCACGCGUCCGGGUUGAAUGUUCUCGGGAGCAGCGGACGGGAAAGGAGGUCUGGGGAGGGGGCAGGUGUGGACGGACUCACCUGUCAGGUGCUCAAAGUUCCCUUUGCCAAAGACGAGCUUCUUGUCCGGCGUUUUGGUGGACACGACCAUCGUCUGCACCACGGACCAGCCGUCCAGCGUGUGCACCAGUGCCGUGGCCUCUGCUACCUGCCACUCAGCUGCGGGGACACAA